CUGCAGCCAAUUAAACGGACGUGCUCCCCUCCCCAUGGGGCCCAGUGUGUAAUGGCUGCAAACAGCAGCCUCCUGGGUAGUGUCUGCAGCCUGUUGCAUAUACGGGCUGCACUAAGGGACUCAUGCCUGAGCC
Small nucleolar RNA from Erinaceus europaeus (western European hedgehog), 133 nucleotides. Its record names the gene SNORA70. It matches the Rfam family "Small nucleolar RNA SNORA70". Rfam says of the family: snoRNA U70 seems to be exclusive to mammals and is a member of the H/ACA class of snoRNA which contain H (ANANNA) and ACA box motifs. H/ACA box snoRNAs are involved in the conversion of uridines to pseudouridines (5-ribosyluracil) a constituent of structural RNAs (transfer, ribosomal, small nuclear, and small nucleolar). NCBI's taxonomy places the organism in Eukaryota, Metazoa, Chordata, Mammalia, Eulipotyphla, Erinaceidae. The record is from Ensembl.